RNAcentral lists this ribosomal RNA (455 nucleotides) under uncultured bacterium. RNAcentral's name for it is "bacterial SSU rRNA". It matches the Rfam family "Bacterial small subunit ribosomal RNA", at positions 30 to 476 of the family's 1533-position model. The record is from RNAcentral.
AUUGAACGCUGGCGGAAUGCUUUACACAUGCAAGUCGAACGGCAGCACGGGAGCUUGCUCCUGGUGGCGAGUGGCGGACGGGUGAGUAAUAUAUCGGAACGUAUCUAUUAAUGGGGGAUAACUAGCCGAAAGGUUAGCUAAUACCGCAUACGCCCUGAGGGGGAAAGCUGGGGAUCUUCGGACCUGGCGUUAAUAGGGCGGCCGAUACCUGAUUAGCUAGUUGGUGGGGUAAAGGCCUACCAAGGCGACGAUCAGUAGCUGGUCUGAGAGGACGACCAGCCACACUGGGACUGAGACACGGCCCAGACUCCUACGGGAGGCAGCAGUGGGGAAUUUUGGACAAUGGGGGCAACCCUGAUCCAGCCAUUCCGCGUGAGUGAAGAAGGCCUUCGGGUUGUAAAGCUCUUUCGCAAGGGAAGAAACGAUAUAAGUGAAUAGCUUAUGUUAAUGACGGU